AACGAACGCUGGCGGCAGGCUUAACACAUGCAAGUCGAGCGAGACCUUCGGGUCUAGCGGCGGACGGGUGAGUAACGCGUGGGAACGUGCCCUUCUCUACGGAAUAGCCCCGGGAAACUGGGAGUAAUACCGUAUACGCCCUUUGGGGGAAAGAUUUAUCGGAGAAGGAUCGGCCCGCGUUGGAUUAGGUAGUUGGUGGGGUAAUGGCCCACCAAGCCGACGAUCCAUAGCUGGUUUGAGAGGAUGAUCAGCCACACUGGGACUGAGACACGGCCCAGAAUCCUACGGGAGGCAGCAGUGGGGAAUCUUAGACAAUGGGGGCAACCCUGAUCUAGCCAUGCCGGGUGAGUGAUGAAGGCCUUAGGGUUGUAAAGCUCUUUCAGCUGGGAAGAUAAUGACGGUACCAGCAGAAGAAGCCCCGGCUAACUCCGUG
This 433-nucleotide ribosomal RNA is filed under the name uncultured bacterium. Its description in RNAcentral is "partial 16S ribosomal RNA". It matches the Rfam family "Bacterial small subunit ribosomal RNA", at positions 29 to 507 of the family's 1533-position model. The record is from RNAcentral.